Molecule: ribosomal RNA, 619 nt
Filed under: uncultured bacterium
Lineage: Bacteria
Description: bacterial SSU rRNA
Rfam family: Bacterial small subunit ribosomal RNA (bases 1-522)
Source: RNAcentral
CCUACGGGAGGCAGCAGUGGGGAAUAUUGGGCAAUGGAGGGAAACUCUGACCCAGCGACGCCGCGUGCGGGAUGAAGGCCUUCGGGUUGUAAACCGCUUUCAGCAGGGAAGAAGCGAAAGUGACGGUACCUGCAGAAGAAGCACCGGCUAACUAUGUGCCAGCAGCCGCGGUAAUACAUAGGGUGCAAGCGUUGUCCGGAAUUAUUGGGCGUAAAGAGCUCGUAGGUGGUUCGUCACGUCGGAUGUGAAAAUCUGGGGCUUAACCCCAGACCUGCAUUCGAUACGGGCGAGCUUGAGUAUGGUAGGGGAGUCUGGAAUUCCUGGUGUAGCGGUGGAAUGCGCAGAUAUCAGGAGGAACACCAAUGGCGAAGGCAGGACUCUGGGCCAUUACUGACACUGAGGAGCGAAAGCGUGGGGAGCGAACAGGAUUAGAUACCCUGGUAGUCCACGCCGUAAACGGUGGGCACUAGUUGUGGGGACCUUCCACGGUCUCUGCGACGCNGCUACGCAUAAGUGCCCGCCGUCGGGAGGUACGAGUACGACGAAGAAGUUAAAACGUUAAAAGGUAAAGUUAGACGGCGUGAGACGUGACCGAACGGACGACGACGAGGGAGGUAGG